AUAUCAAUAAGCGGAGGAAAAGAAACCAACAGGGAUUGCCUCAGUAACGGCGAGUGAAGCGGCAACAGCUCAAAUUUGAAAUCUGGCGCAAGCCCGAAUUGUAAUUUGCAGAGGAUGCUUUGGAGUCGUGCCUGGUCUAAGUUCCUUGGAACAGGACGUCGCAGAGGGUGAGAAUCCCGUACGCGGCCGGGUGCCUAUCCGUGUAAAGCUCCUUCGACGAGUCGAGUUGUUUGGGAAUGCAGCUCUAAAUGGGAGGUAAAUUUCUUCUAAAGCUAAAUACCGGCCAGAGACCGAUAGCGCACAAGUAGAGUGAUCGAAAGAUGAAAAGCACUUUGAAAAGAGAGUUAAAAAGUACGUGAAAUUGUUGAAAGGGAAGCGUUUGCAGCCAGACUUGACGACGUUGCUCAGCCGGUCUUUGCCCGGUGCACUCUUCGUUCGUCGGGCCAGCAUCAGUUUGGGGGGUCGGAUAAAGGCUUUGGGAACGUGGCUCCUCGGAGUGUUAUAGCCCUUUGCACAAUGCGGCCUCCCCAGACUGAGGAUAGCGUUCGCUAGGAUGCUGGCGUAAUGGCGGCCAACGG
Molecule: ribosomal RNA, 578 nt
Filed under: uncultured fungus
Lineage: Eukaryota; Fungi
Description: eukaryotic LSU rRNA
Rfam family: Eukaryotic large subunit ribosomal RNA
Source: RNAcentral